CCUCCCCAACUCAACCUCAUCUUCCUCGCCCAACCUAACAUCAUCAUCUCCCAACUCAACGCUCUUCCUCCCCCAACUCAACCUCAUCUUCCUCGCCCAACUCAACACAAUCAUCUCCCAACUCAACCUCAUCUUCCUCCCCAACAUCAUCUUCCUCCCCAACUCAACAUCAUCUUCCUCUUCCAAUUCAUCACGCUCUUCCUCCUCCAACUCAACCUCAUCUUCCUCCCCAACUCAUCAUCAUCUUCCUCUUCCAACCCAACACAAUCAUCUCCCAACUCAACUCUUCCUCCCCAAAAUCAUCUUCCUCCCCCAACCCAACCUCAUCUUCCUCCCCCACUCAAUGUCAUCUUCAUCCCCAACCCAACCUCAUCUUCCUCUUCCAACUCAUCAUCAUCAUCUCCCAACUCAACGCCCUCUUCCUCCCCAACAUCAUCUUCCUCCCCAUCAACCUCAUCUUCCUCCCCAACCUCAUCUUCCUCACCCAACUCAACCUCAUCUUCCUCUUCCAACUCAACAUCAUCUUCAUCCCCAACUCAUCAUCAUCUUCCUCCCCCAACUCAACCUCAUCUUCCUCACCCAACUCAAUGUCAUCAUCUCCCAACUCAACGCCCUCUUCCUCCCCAAUGUCAUCUUCCUCACCCACUCAUCAUCAUCUUCCUCACCCAACUCAACCUCAUCUUCAUCCCCAACUCAACGCUCUUCCUCCCCAACCUCAUCUUCCUCCCCAACUCAACAUCAUCUUCCUCCCCAACCCAACCUCAUCUUCCUCCCCCAACUCAACCUCAUCUUCAUCCCCAACUCAUCAUCAUCUUCCUCACCCAACCCAACGCAAUCAUCUCCCAACUCAACGCUCUUCCUCCCCAACAUCAUCUUCCUCCCCAUCAACCUCAUCUUCCUCCCCAACCUCAUCUUCCUCACCCAACUCAACCUCAUCUUCCUCUUCCAACUCAACAUCAUCUUCAUCCCCAACUCAUCAUCAUCUUCCUCCCCCAACUCAACCUCAUCUUCCUCACCCAACUCAAUGUCAUCAUCUCCCAACUCAACGCCCUCUUCCUCCCCAAUGUCAUCUNNNNNNNNNNCUUUUAACCAUUUCCACCUUUUUUAA
RNAcentral lists this long non-coding RNA (1108 nucleotides) under Anas zonorhyncha (Eastern spot-billed duck). RNAcentral describes it as "lncRNA (ENSAZOG00000007823.1)". The record is from RNAcentral. Lineage: Eukaryota; Metazoa; Chordata; Aves; Anseriformes; Anatidae.